Molecule: long non-coding RNA, 492 nt
Organism: Papilio polytes (common Mormon)
Lineage: Eukaryota; Metazoa; Arthropoda; Insecta; Lepidoptera; Papilionidae
Exons: 3
Source: RefSeq, a predicted model, not a curated record
GUGCAGUUUUAGGACGUCUACGAAGAAUCUGAAAAGAUUAACAUGGGCCUGUUAUCGGCAAUCGCGGUCAACGCCAUAGGCGGUGCUAUCAUAUACGGUACUGGCGGACUCGGCGCGGCAUGGGUUGCGCCAAUGCUGGGCUUUAGUAGCGGCGGCAUUGUAGCAGGCAGCACCGCCGCCGCCGCUCAAGCCUACUAUGGCAACGUAGCCGCUGGGAGCAUCGUAUCCCAGUUGACUGCCAUCGCUAUGGCAUCACCAACACCUUAAAACCCAGAUUGCUCGAUUUCUUAAGGAAAUUGGAAUAAAUGGGUUAUAAUUAAAUUAUGUGUUUUAAUUUACCUUAUAUAUCCGGUAAAGUGAAGCCGAAUUUUUAAUUAGUUAUUCAGUUUUUUAAGACUUUAUUUUUAAUCUGAAAACCUCGUGUUUUUUAAUCUAUGCAUUUGUAAACAAUUCGAUUUUCUAAUCUAAAUAAAUAAUAAUUACUGUCGUUUA